Molecule: long non-coding RNA, 8183 nt
Filed under: Homo sapiens (human)
Lineage: Eukaryota; Metazoa; Chordata; Mammalia; Primates; Hominidae
Description: HSALNT0051618
Source: RNAcentral
GACAAGAUCAGAUUUUGGUUGCAAUGAAUGAAGAGUUCAGCAACUGAAAGAACAGAGUUUAAUCGAGCAAAGAACAACACAAGAAUCAGGCAGCACCACCACCCCCUCCCCGGACUGAAAUUUUGAAGUAGUCAAAUUUCCAGCUUACCAUCUAGAAUGUCUUCACUGAUAUUCUUACAAAAUCUAUCGUCAUUGGAAGAUAGGCUAUUCAUGUAUGUUUUCUACUAAUUAUUUAGAGUUGUAAUUGUUUCAUUCUUAUUACUUGAUGUUCCUUAAAAUAGCAACAAAAUUUUCACCAUAUCAUAUUUUGAAUAAUCAGAUCCUUGUAUUACUGGUUUGUGAUCUUUCCUUCUUUUGUUUUUCUUUCCUUCCCAUUCAUCCAUCUUCUCAUGUACUCAAAAAUUAUUUGCUGAGUGUUUACCACAUGCCAGGUUCAGUUUAGGGAGGCAUUUGAGAUAUAUUAAUGAAUAAGACAGACAAACUCCUUGCUGUCACAGAUUUUACAUGCCAAAAUUCAAGGCUAUUGUAUGUCUAUGAAAAACUGAAUGUUUUAUGACUAUACAAGGCUAUUCUCUGUUUCUUUCAAUGCUUUUCUUUGAAGUAUAUUAUCUUGAUAUUACAGUUGCUGUCCCUGUAAUCCUUUUACCAAGCUACAUCAUUUAUUUUAGCUGCCUCUUCUAAGAAGCAUAUAGUUGGAUAUUGUCUAUAAAGCCAGUCAAUAAUUUUUGCCUUUUACUAGGUAAGUUUAAAGCAUUUAUGUAUAGUACCAUAACUAACGUUUGAUAGCUUUGUCAUCAUCUAUUAUGCUUCCUUUGUAAAUAAUCUUGUUACUUUCUUUUGUUAUUCUUCUCAUUGCUGCUUCUUAUUAUGAGUCUUAUUAAUAGCCAGGAAUUUUGCACUGAGCACAUAAAAAUUAGUAACAAUGAACACUGAUUGAGUGCUUACAACGUGCCAGGUAUUGUACUCUAUAUGAUUUUUUUCAUUUAAUCGUCACAAUGCUAUUGCAUAAACAUCUUUUAUGAGCAUUUUUUAAAACAUUUACUUAGUGAUUAGAAACAUCAAUAAUAUAUUUAUUUCAUGUGUACUGAUGAAUUAUGUAAACUUCCAUACUUCCUUCCCUCUUUAAAUUAUUCACUAGAAUUAAGUAGACUUAAGAUACAAAUAAUGAUUUAAAUUAUUUUCACUGCUAUUGGCAUGAUUAUUUUUGACAAUUGCUUUCAGUUAUUUAGACUUAAUCAUAUCUUACUGGUUACAUUGCUUUCCAGUAGUCCUCUUACACUUGUUUUCCUCUUGCUUGAAUUAUUGAUUUUUGUUCGCCUCUCAGUGGGAAAAGCAUAUUUUUAUCUAGAAAGGCAUGUGGAUGGUACCCUUCCUAAGCUAGUGCAUGCGUAACUCAGCACUUUUCCUUCUUGGCCUUUGACUAUGCUAAAAUACAUGGUCACUUUGUCAGUAAAGGUUGUUUCUCCCACUUCAUCAAUUAACCCUUUGUAGGUCAAGUUUAAGAUUAAAGUAGCAGAUCCCCAUCCCCAAGCUUCCUUAAUUUUUUAUCCAGUAGUCUGACUUAAAUAAGGCCAGAAUUGGACUCCGACAAGGAAAUUUAAGCCUUCAGGCUAUGGCUUAUUGUUUUAGCUAUACAUUUGCUGGGGGCACAUCCUGUGUGAAAGAUCUGGAGCUCAUUUAUUCCUGAUUUGGGGCAUGGCUGUGGACCUUAGGCUCUCCAGGGGCCUUGAUUUUCUAUUCCUUCCUUUUAAGGCUGGUUUCUAAUCAGUACUAACAAGACUCCUGAUUCUGGGCCUUGUACCUAGCCUGGGUCUUUGAUAUCUGGUGAAACUGAAUUUGGCUCAUGGUCCAAUGUGACACAUAAAACCUUCAGAUGCCUCAGCUUUCUACCACACUUAUAGUCCUAGUCAAAUUAAACUGUGAAUAUUAGCUCAAGAGUUCAAAGCCUGGCUCAGCUUCUUGGUAACUAUUUAAUCUAAAUAAGGCUUUAUAAUCCUUCAUUUCCUCAUCAACAAAAUGGGGAUAAUAACAGUACCUAUUUCUAUGUGUUAUUAGGUUAAAUAAGAUAAAGCCUUUUGGCCAGGUGUGCUGGCUCACACCUGUAAUCUCAGCACUUUGGGAGGCCAAGGCAGGCAGAUCACCUGAGCUUAUGAGUUUGAGAUCAACCUGGGCAACAUAGUGAAACCUUGUCUUUACCAAAAAUACAAAAAAUUAGCUGGGCAUGGUGACAGGUGCCUGUGGUCCCAGCUACUUGGAAGGCUAAGGUGGGAGGAUCCCUUGAGCCUGGGAGGUUGGAGGCUGCAGUGAGCUGAGAUCACACCGCUGCGCUCCAGCCUGAGUGACAGAGCGAGACCCCCUCUCAAACAAACAAACAAAAAAAAACAAAAAAACAAAAAACAAACAAAAAAAAGGAUAAAGCCUUUAGCACAAUGCCUAGCCCUCAGGAAAUAAUAAAUAUAAUAAAUUAUGAGUCAUUAUUUCAAAUAUUUAAUUAUUCUUCCCCAUAAUUCUUAAUCAGUGAUCAUUCUUCAUGUAUAAGGGGAAAAACUCCUACUUUCUGAAAAAUAAUAAUUCUGGGAAAACAUUCAGUAGUGUAUGAAAGCAAGCUAUCAUUGGAUCGUCACUUUCUAAUCCUUCAUAUUUCAUGUAUUAUGUUUAAUGUAUAAUAUAAAGCUCAUUGAAAAGAAAGGAAUAUCUCAAUUGUUAACUGUGUUUAGGAAGUUCUUAAACUGUUGAGAGAUAUAAUCUUUUAGGUGGAUAAUUACACUGACUUCUGAUGACUGAGAGUUACUUUUUUACCAAUAUGUUUAUACUUCAAAUAUAGGUUAAAAAAAAACUUGGCAUUCAACAUAAUUAUACUAUGAUAUGUUAGAAACAAUAUACUAUGACAUAUUUUAAAAUUAUAUCAAUAAUUUGGCAGAUUAGUAAUCAAUAACCAAGAAUCUCCCCAAUUAAAUUACAAUAAACUGCACGGUAAAACAACUGCUAAUCCAGAUAAUAGAAAACAGACAUGGAAGAUAUAUAAUAAGCAUUUGGGGGAUAUGGAAUUUAUCCCAUGAGUGUUGUAAAGAGCUCAUAAUUUAACAGUGACGAAGCCCAAGCGUGUUAUGAGGGUCUUUCCUCAAAAGUGACAUUAAUUGCAUAUCCCACAGAUGCCUAUUAUGUACUCUAUUGAUAUCAAAGUAUAAAAUACAGUAAAAAGUUUACAGAUUCAAUACAUUUAAAAGUGAUAAUAAAACAGUUAUUCUGGCCUACUAAAACUGUUAAACUUCAAAUUUUAGUCUCUUUAUAAUAAAAGAAUGCUGUAGUAGCAUUGAAUCUCUAUAUAAAUCUGCUCUAAGUUAGAGUUUUUUGAACUCACAACAUGAUGUGUGAUCAGUGAUAGAAUUGUAACGCAAAUAUUUUAGAUGCUUUUGCACAAAAAUAAUCCCCAAGUGAUGAAAUCUCAGGACAUUCUUAUGCUUAUACUAAAAAAUACCACAAAAAUGACUCUUAAAAAAUUACCUUGGAAAGCUGGAAAUGAUGCAGUCAAUAUUUUACUUUGCAAAUUGGUCAGUAUGUAUUGACAGGUUUAUAGAACCUAAUUUUUUUAAGUGCAAUACCAAUCAAUAAUUGGCAAACAAAAGACAACUCAAUAUGUUAAUUAGGCUGGGCGCAGUGGCUCACACGUGUAACCCCAGCACUUUGGGAAGCCCGGGCGGGCAGAUCACUCAAGGUCAGGAGUUUGAGACCUGCCUAUCCAAUGUGGUGAAACCCCAUCUCUACUGAAAAUACAAAAAUUAGCCAGGUGUGGUGGUGGGCGUCUAUAAUCCUAGCUACUCAGGAGGCUGAGGCAGGAUAAUUGCUUGAACCCGGGAGGCAGAAGCUGCAGUGAGCCAAGAUUGCACCACUGCACACCAGCCUAGGCAACAGAGCAAGACACCCUCUCAAAAAAAAAAGAAAAAAGAUGUUAAUUAUUUAUUCGAAUUAUAGUAAGAGAAACUUCAUUCUAUGUGCAACAGAAGGAACUUUCAUAAAAUUAAUGAAAAACAUAAUAUAAAUUACCUUUAGGAUAUAUUAUUUUAUAAAAUCACUUAUGUUGAACAUUUAAUUGCGGAUUUAAUUUUAUUUAACCUAAAAUACAGGUAGUAAAUUGAUUUAAAACUUGCUAACAAAAAAUUUUUAAUCAUCCAGAAGAUAAUACAGUUAAAUAUAUAAGUAACAGCAUUAAAUAAGCAAACUGUUAUAUAAUAUUCAAGAUUUCAUGUGGACUUAUUCACAUGUCAAGAUAAAUGUCAUCAAUUUAUAUAAAACUAGGAUCAUGUAAUUUAGAAUGAGAUUAUCAAAUUUUAGUGCAAGUAAUAGUUUUGUACUAUUUGUUAAUUCUAAUUUUGUUAAGUACAUCUAUUAGCAAAAUGCAGCAAGUGUACAUACUUAGGGCACAUCUCCCACCUCAGGAGAUAUUAACAUAUAUUCUCUUGGAAAAACUGGUUUUAAAAAUAAUUGCAAAAUUUAGUGACAAAUAUAACCAUAAUACAGACUAGAUUUAAGUAAUUUGAUGUUCCAUGCAACUGUUAAAAAUUUUGACUAAAAGUAGAAAUUGGACUCUACAUGGGGCUUAAUUUAAUCUUGCUAACACUUUUCCCCCAUGUAAAUAUAUAUUUAUGAUUUACUCCUCUUUCCAUACAAGCUGUUGGUAAUGAUAACAUUUUGCCAUUGGCUCAUUCAUUAUUGACAUUUUUAUUAUAAUUUCUAAUAUUUUACUUUUAUUUUUUAUUUUCUUUUUAAAUUUUUCAUUUUUACUAUAAUUUAUAAUUUUCUUGAAACAUUUUACUUUACAAAAAAAUUUGUUUUGUUUGAAAAUUAAAAUUCUAUAAAAUAUCUGGCAUGCAAAAGCACACUUUAGAUGACACCAUUAUGAAUUAUUAUGUAAUCUGAGAAAGCAGUUUCAUUAACUAAAAAGAGAUUAUUUUACAUCUGCCCCUUGGUGAUAUUUACUCAAACCACUGUCUAUAUUUUCAAGUAUUAAUUCUGAAUGUAAAACUAAAUUAACAACUUUCUUCUAAAAGGAAUAAACAGUAGCACAGCAAUUACUUAGAUUAAGAUAUUUGUGUGAUACAGAAUAAGAUAUUUUAAUUCAUUUCCAUGAGAUACAAAACUAUAAUAUUAAAUUCUAGAACAUAAAAUUAUUCUGCCAAACUAUAUGAUCAUUUCUAAAAGUUUACUCCCAACUUCUAUAGCAUCACUUUAGAAAGCAGUGGUCUAAAACACGGCUAUUAUAAGUUUGCAGGUAAGAGAAGCACAUAGGCUCUAGUGAAAAGAAAAAAAAAGUCAAAGACAGAGUUGGAAGGGCUAACUAAUGAUUCACACAGGACAUCAUAUUCACAUAGCCAUGACAUUCUAAUUAAGUAAUGGUAAUGACAAAUAAUGAUAAUAAAGGCAUGUCAAAACAUACAUUAAAUGUAUACUACAUACUGAGUACUACUUUUUUUUGUAUAUUAUGAUUUAAUUCUCACAGGCACCCUAUGAAGUAGGUACCAUUAUUUUUAAUUUCCAUUUCACAGAUGAAAAAACAAAGGCUGUUUCAUUUCAGAGCCUAUGCUUCUAUCUACCGUUAUUAUUAGAGAUGGGGGUCUUGCUAUGUUGCCCAGGAUGGACUCGAACUCCUGGGUCAAGCGAUCCUCCUGCCUCAGACUCCCGAGCAGGGUGGGAUUACAGGCAUGUGCCACCAUGCCUGGCUUACACUGUUUUUUGACCCAAAGUUUCUAAUAGUCAUUAAUAGAAAAUACAUAGAUGGGUAGUACAGAUGGUAGUACAGCUUAGGGAUAUAAGAAAAUUCAAGCACUCUGGCCUUUCAUGUGCUCCAUAAAUAGUAAUAACAAAACCAAAUUAAUAUGUGAAAUAGGUAAAUAAAAUCCUUGCAUUAUAAAAUGUAAUAGAGGCCAGUUGAGAUGAGUAAUCUAUUCUUCAAAGAUUAAAAAAUACAUAUUUUAAAAAAUAAUACAGAUGAGAUUCUAUUAAAAUAUAAUGAGCUAAAUGAGGUAGCUAUGAUUAUUGCAAGACCUGGUAUUUUCAGUAUUGCUGAUAAUGUUGGAGAGAUUAAGAAUAAUUAUGUCAUGGAUCAUGGAAUUUUAAUGGGAAGGUACUGGUCAAAAUGCCAAAGAAAUUCUAUAAAUUAUUCUGAUAAAGAUGAAACUAACCCCUGAAACUAACUGAAGGAAACUAACAUCUGAAAAGGAAACAGAAACACUCUGGUUAUAAAUUAUUGCACCCAAGCCCACGCCAUCACCACUGCAACAUCAAGCACCGGUUUGGGCAAGAAGGCAAAAAAUUAUAAAGCAUUUCAAAGAAAUGAUAAACAUGUUCAACAUCAACUUCUUUCCCCAAUAUUUAAAACCAAUUUCUGGAUCUUAGCAAGCAAUUUUUGAGGGUGUAAAAUGUGCUUUUGUAUUUGGAUAUACCAAUUAUUUGCACAGUGGAGAGGAAUAUAAAAAUUUAACUCCUGACCUUGUUACUAGCUCUUUCAAAUAAAUUUUUAUGUCUAUAAUCAUAAAUGUAUUAGUUAGACUUUCAAAUGUACAUAGCAAUUCAUUAAUAACCUGCAUUGCUGCCCAAUACCACAUGUCACACACAAUUUUCUCAUUUCCAGUGGAAAUAAUGAAGCUGCUCUCAAUGAUGAGGUUAAGCUAAAGUAAGAAAAAGGAAAACAUGCAGCGUUAAAACAGAAAAGCAGACUUCUUCAGUCACAGUUCAGGGCUUCCAGAGAAGAAAAACAGCUGAGAGUUAUUAUUCAUGGAAGACUCUGUAUAAAAUGAGAAUAUAAACAAAACACUAUUCUCUUUUCUGGGUUAAAUAAACAGACCCUGCUCUGGGUGACUUGUUUGAGAUUCUCUGCAAUUGAAAUAAUGAAUUCACAUUUAUUGAGCAUCUACUAAGUACACCUCAAUAAAAAAAUUGCCUCAAUUUUGCAUGUUCUACCUAAUGGAGAGUCAAGCUUUACAUAAAGUAUCUACCAAGAAACUGCCUAGCACUACAUAUAAAUGUUCUACUAUUUCAAUAUAGAGAACCCUUUUGUCUGUAGCAGUGCAUAGAUAAUUCACAUUUACUAAAAUCACUAUUUUUUAAUUUGCAUACACACCUUAUAAGCCACUGAAAAAAUACACACACACACACACACACACACACAUGCACACCCACCCCUAAGGAGUGAGCAUCUCCCUGUUCUGCUAUGACAUGUUACAGAAGUUAUGUGGCUGAAGAAAAUUAAUACAUUAUGGUCAUUAUGGUCUCUGAGAGGCAUCUAUCUUACUUACAGGAAUCUACGUCUGAGGGUAGAACAAAAGAUGAUCAUAUGAUAUAAUGGAAAGAACAUGAAUAUUUUAUUGUAUUGUUAGGAUUUGGGGCUGGCUCCAUGCAUGUACGACUCAUACAACUUCUUGGAAUGCUUGGUUCAAUGAUCUGCUGUUACCAGCUUGAAAUUCUUACUAAUUUUUUCAAAGGGGCCUUGCAUCUUUCUUUUGCACUGAGCUCUGCAAAUUAUGUAGCCAAUCCUAAAUAAUUAUGGCUCUGAGUUAUGAUUUCACUGUGAAAUAUGUGUAAACUAAACCUGAGCCUUAACUUCUUCAUCUCUAAUAAAGGAAUAAUACCCAAUUUACAGGGUUGGUAUUACAAAGAGUAUUAGAUGAGAUACCAUACACAGGUGAAAGUGAUAAGCACUGAGCAUGCACAUAGACACACAAAAGAGAUGUGAAAUAAAAUGGAGAAGGAACAGUUGUUAUUUUUAAGGAUCCGAGCACAUAGAAAUUUACAUAUCAUUAGAAACUACUAUAUAAUUAGAUGUAGUUGAAAUUGAAACUUUAGGCUGGGUGCAAUGGCUCAUAUCUGUAAUCCCAGCACUUUGGGAAGCAGAGGCAAGCUCAGGAAUUCAAGGGGAGCCUGGCCAACAUGGUGAAACCCUGUCUACCAAAACUACAAAAACUUAGCUGGGCUUGGUGGCACGCGUCUGUGGUACCAGCUACUUGGGAAGCUGAGAUGGGAGGAUCGCUUGAGCCCAGGGGGCAGAGUUUGCAGUAAGCCAAGAUCAUGCCACUGCACUCUAGCAUGGGUGAAAGAUGGAGACUCUGUCUCAAAAAACAAACAAACAAACAAAGAACUUUAAUACUUACAACCCAUAUAUCUGUGGUGCAAUUUCUAGUCUGUUCAAG